UUCCAUCUUUAGAACCUUGAAAUCAUCGUCUGGAUCUCGUCUCGACUGGAAUCUCUGAACGAAGAAAUACCAGAUGAACGUGUUUGGUAAAGAAAAGUUAACAACAUCGUGAUCGUUCGGGAACACCUCAUUUUAGUUGCAACGUGAAGCUCUUCUCUUCUCUAAACAAUCAUCAUCAUUGAAAUAGCAUCAGCGGAACCCCGAUUUAAUAUGGAUUAACAUGGAGAGGAAUCUGAGAGAACCAUUCGGUAUAAGCUGAGUUUCUUCACCUUGAUAAGUUUAUUUGGAGCUUGCAAUGGAUCUUCAGGAUUUCCUGUGUGAACAGCUUGAUGUGCAAGAAUACUCUUGAUGGACUCUAUGGUUCCAAUAGUCUUCUUGACCGUUAUAAAAGCCAAAAAAUGUGUGAAAUCCUCGCUUCUCCGGCG
Molecule: long non-coding RNA, 425 nt
Organism: Dendronephthya gigantea
Lineage: Eukaryota; Metazoa; Cnidaria; Anthozoa; Malacalcyonacea; Nephtheidae
Exons: 3
Source: RefSeq, a predicted model, not a curated record